This 950-nucleotide long non-coding RNA is filed under the name Nicotiana tabacum (common tobacco). RNAcentral describes it as "long non-coding RNA (NTAB_LNC002381)". The record is from RNAcentral. Lineage: Eukaryota; Viridiplantae; Streptophyta; Magnoliopsida; Solanales; Solanaceae.
UAGGGUUUAAAACCCUAAUGCCGAACAAAGGAAGAAUUCAGUUUAGGGUUUAAAACCCUAAUGCUGGCUAAAGGAAAAAUUCAGUUUAGGGUUUAAAACCUUAAUGCUGAUUGCAUGGAGAAGCUCAGUUUAAGGUUUAAAACCCUGAUGCUGGCUGAAUGGAAAAAGUUCCGUUUAGGGUUUAAAACCCUAAUGCUGGCUAAAAGGAAAAUUCAGUUUAGGGUUUAAAAACCCUAAUGCUGAUUACAUGGAAAAACUCAGUUUAGGGUUUAAAAUCCUAAUGCUGGCUGAAUGGAAAAAGUUCAGUUUAGGGUUUAAAACCCUAAUGUUGACUGAAUGGAAAAAGUUCAGUUUAGGGUUUAAAACCCUGAUGCUGACUAAAAGGAAAAUUCAGUUUAGGGUUUAAAACCCUAAUGUUGAUUACAUGGAAAAGCUUAGUUUAGGGUUUAAAACCCUAAUGCUGGCUGAAGGAAAAAUUCAGUUUAGGGUUUAAAACCCUAAUGCUGAUUACAUGGAAAAGCUCAGUUUAGGGUUUAAAACCCUAAUGCUGGCUGAAUGGAAAAAGUUCAGUCUAGGGUUUAAAACCCUAAUGCUGACUGAAUGGAAAAAGCUCAGUUUAGGGUUUAAAACCCUAAUGCUGGCUGAAGGAAAAAUUCAGUUUAGGGUUUAAAACCCUAAUGCUGAUUACAUGGAAAAGCUCAGUUUAGGGUUUAAAACCCUAAUGCUGGCUGAAUGGAAAAAGUUCAGUUUAGGGUUUAAAACCCUAAUGCUGACUGAAUGGAAAAAGUUCAGUUUAGGGUUUAAAACCCUAAUGCUGACUAAAAGGAAAAUUCAGUUUAGGGUUUAAAACCCUAAUGCUGAUUACAUGGAAAAGCUCAGUUUAGGGUUUAAAACCCUAAUGCUGGCUGAAGGAAAAAUUCAGUUUAGGGUUUAAAACCCUAAUGCUGAUU